CUCGGUCCGGUUGGUUGCGCAAAACAGAUAGGAGCACACAUACACAAUAGACAAAUUACCGAAUCAUACUGAUUCGAUGAUGUACAAAACAAUAAAUUAGGUGGAAUAUUGGCAGUCAGAGGCCAUUGGUAGAAACAUACAUUUCACGAAGUCAGUUGUUCUACAUUUAAAUGGGUUUUAAAUGAGGUAUUAGGAAGAUGGUUAGGUAAUUGAAAUC
Molecule: non-coding RNA, 217 nt
Organism: Caenorhabditis elegans
Lineage: Eukaryota; Metazoa; Nematoda; Chromadorea; Rhabditida; Rhabditidae
Source: Ensembl